RNAcentral lists this ribosomal RNA (332 nucleotides) under uncultured bacterium. Its description in RNAcentral is "bacterial SSU rRNA". It matches the Rfam family "Bacterial small subunit ribosomal RNA", at positions 568 to 898 of the family's 1533-position model. The record is from RNAcentral.
CGCGUAGGCGGCAAGGCAAGUCAGGUGUGAAAGCCCCGAGCUUAACUCGGGAAUUGCAUCUGAAACUGCUGUGCUUGAGUUCUGGAGGGGGUAGUGGAAUUCCCAGUGUAGCGGUGAAAUGCGUAGAUAUUGGGAGGAACACCUGCGGCGAAGGCGGCUACCUGGACAGAAACUGACGCUGAGGCGCGAAAGCUAGGGGAGCGAACGGGAUUAGAUACCCCGGUAGUCCUAGCCGUAAACGAUGGGCACUUGGUGUUGGGGGUAUUGAGUCCCCCAGUGCCGGAGUUAACACGUUAAGUGCCCCGCCUGGGGAGUACGGUCGCAAGACUGAA